This 285-nucleotide ribosomal RNA is filed under the name uncultured bacterium. RNAcentral describes it as "partial 16S ribosomal RNA". It matches the Rfam family "Bacterial small subunit ribosomal RNA", at positions 495 to 777 of the family's 1533-position model. The record is from RNAcentral.
GGCUAACUCCGUGCCAGCAGCCGCGGUAAUACGGAGGGUGCGAGCGUUGUUCGGAAUUAUUGGGCGUAAAGCGCGCGUAGGCGGUUCUUUAAGUCUGUCUGUGAAAGGCCGGGGCUCAACCCCGUGCAGUGCAGGGGAUACUGGAGGACUUGAGAGAUGCAGAGGCCAGCGGAAUUCCGGGUGUAGCGGUGGAAUGCGUAGAGAUCCGGAAGAACACCGGCGGCGAAGGCGGCUGGCUGGGCAUCAUCUGACGCUGAGGUGCGAAAGCGUGGGGAGCAAACAGGA